GGUUAAGCGACUAAGCGUACACGGUGGAUGCCCUGGCAGUCAGAGGCGAUGAAGGACGUGCUAAUCUGCGAUAAGCGUCGGUAAGGUGAUAUGAACCGUUAUAACCGGCGAUUUCCGAAUGGGGAAACCCAGUGUGUUUCGACACACUAUCAUUAACUGAAUCCAUAGGUUAAUGAGGCGAACCGGGGGAACUGAAACAUCUAAGUACCCCGAGGAAAAGAAAUCAACCGAGAUUCCCCCAGUAGCGGCGAGCGAACGGGGAGGAGCCCAGAGCCUGAAUCAGUGUGUGUGUUAGUGGAAGCGUCUGGAAAGGCGCGCGAUACAGGGUGACAGCCCCGUACACAAAAAUGCACAUACUGUGAGCUCGAUGAGUAGGGCGGGACACGUGGUAUCCUGUCUGAAUAUGGGGGGACCAUCCUCCAAGGCUAAAUACUCCUGACUGACCGAUAGUGAACCAGUACCGUGAGGGAAAGGCGAAAAGAACCCCGGCGAGGGGAGUGAAAAAGAACCUGAAACCGUGUACGUACAAGCAGUGGGAGCCUCUUUUAUGGGGUGACUGCGUACCUUUUGUAUAAUGGGUCAGCGACUUAUAUUCUGUAGCAAGGUUAACCGAAUAGGGGAGCCGAAGGGAAACCGAGUCUUAACUGGGCGUUAAGUUGCAGGGUAUAGACCCGAAACCCGGUGAUCUAGCCAUGGGCAGGUUGAAGGUUGGGUAACACUAACUGGAGGACCGAACCGACUAAUGUUGAAAAAUUAGCGGAUGACUUGUGGCUGGGGGUGAAAGGCCAAUCAAACCGGGAGAUAGCUGGUUCUCCCCGAAAGCUAUUUAGGUAGCGCCUCGUGAAUUCAUCUCCGGGGGUAGAGCACUGUUUCGGCAAGGGGGUCAUCCCGACUUACCAACCCGAUGCAAACUGCGAAUACCGGAGAAUGUUAUCACGGGAGACACACGGCGGGUGCUAACGUCCGUCGUGAAGAGGGAAACAACCCAGACCGCCAGCUAAGGUCCCAAAGUCAUGGUUAAGUGGGAAACGAUGUGGGAAGGCCCAGACAGCCAGGAUGUUGGCUUAGAAGCAGCCAUCAUUUAAAGAAAGCGUAAUAGCUCACUGGUCGAGUCGGCCUGCGCGGAAGAUGUAACGGGGCUAAACCAUGCACCGAAGCUGCGGCAGCGACACUAUGUGUUGUUGGGUAGGGGAGCGUUCUGUAAGCCUGUGAAGGUGUACUGUGAGGUAUGCUGGAGGUAUCAGAAGUGCGAAUGCUGACAUAAGUAACGAUAAAGCGGGUGAAAAGCCCGCUCGCCGGAAGACCAAGGGUUCCUGUCCAACGUUAAUCGGGGCAGGGUGAGUCGACCCCUAAGGCGAGGCCGAAAGGCGUAGUCGAUGGGAAACAGGUUAAUAUUCCUGUACUUGGUGUUACUGCGAAGGGGGGACGGAGAAGGCUAUGUUGGCCGGGCGACGGUUGUCCCGGUUUAAGCGUGUAGGCUGGUUUUCCAGGCAAAUCCGGAAAAUCAAGGCUGAGGCGUGAUGACGAGGCACUACGGUGCUGAAGCAACAAAUGCCCUGCUUCCAGGAAAAGCCUCUAAGCAUCAGGUAACAUCAAAUCGUACCCCAAACCGACACAGGUGGUCAGGUAGAGAAUACCAAGGCGCUUGAGAGAACUCGGGUGAAGGAACUAGGCAAAAUGGUGCCGUAACUUCGGGAGAAGGCACGCUGAUAUGUAGGUGAAGCGACUUGCUCGUGGAGCUGAAAUCAGUCGAAGAUACCAGCUGGCUGCAACUGUUUAUUAAAAACACAGCACUGUGCAAACACGAAAGUGGACGUAUACGGUGUGACGCCUGCCCGGUGCCGGAAGGUUAAUUGAUGGGGUCAGCGCAAGCGAAGCUCUUGAUCGAAGCCCCGGUAAACGGCGGCCGUAACUAUAACGGUCCUAAGGUAGCGAAAUUCCUUGUCGGGUAAGUUCCGACCUGCACGAAUGGCGUAAUGAUGGCCAGGCUGUCUCCACCCGAGACUCAGUGAAAUUGAACUCGCUGUGAAGAUGCAGUGUACCCGCGGCAAGACGGAAAGACCCCGUGAACCUUUACUAUAGCUUGACACUGAACAUUGAGCCUUGAUGUGUAGGAUAGGUGGGAGGCUUAGAAGUGUGGACGCCAGUCUGCAUGGAGCCGACCUUGAAAUACCACCCUUUAAUGUUUGAUGUUCUAACGUUGACCCGUGAUCCGGGUUGCGGACAGUGUCUGGUGGGUAGUUUGACUGGGGCGGUCUCCUCCUAAAGAGUAACGGAGGAGCACGAAGGUUGGCUAAUCCUGGUCGGACAUCAGGAGGUUAGUGCAAUGGCAUAAGCCAGCUUGACUGCGAGCGUGACGGCGCGAGCAGGUGCGAAAGCAGGUCAUAGUGAUCCGGUGGUUCUGAAUGGAAGGGCCAUCGCUCAACGGAUAAAAGGUACUCCGGGGAUAACAGGCUGAUACCGCCCAAGAGUUCAUAUCGACGGCGGUGUUUGGCACCUCGAUGUCGGCUCAUCACAUCCUGGGGCUGAAGUAGGUCCCAAGGGUAUGGCUGUUCGCCAUUUAAAGUGGUACGCGAGCUGGGUUUAGAACGUCGUGAGACAGUUCGGUCCCUAUCUGCCGUGGGCGCUGGAGAACUGAGGGGGGCUGCUCCUAGUACGAGAGGACCGGAGUGGACGCAUCACUGGUGUUCGGGUUGUCAUGCCAAUGGCACUGCCCGGUAGCUAAAUGCGGAAGAGAUAAGUGCUGAAAGCAUCUAAGCACGAAACUUGCCCCGAGAUGAGUUCUCCCUGAGACUAUAAGUCUCCUGAAGGAACGUUGAAGACGACGACGUUGAUAGGCCGGGUGUGUAAGCGCAGCGAUGCGUUGAGCUAACCGGUACUAAUGAACCGUGAGGCUUAACCUU
This 2903-nucleotide ribosomal RNA is filed under the name Escherichia coli. RNAcentral describes it as "23S ribosomal RNA". It matches the Rfam family "Bacterial large subunit ribosomal RNA". Lineage: Bacteria; Pseudomonadati; Pseudomonadota; Gammaproteobacteria; Enterobacterales; Enterobacteriaceae. The record is from RNAcentral.